CCGUCUGCCGUAUUGGCCUAGAUAUGGAGUCUCUAUGGAUAGUCGCAGGGAACAAAACCUAAUUUAUACCAGUAACUAAUUGAAGCCUUCCAUCCGGUCAACUUACGGGCAGCCGACGCCCACCACAAUGGCCACACAAACAGAGCCACACGGCAAGGCCCGCUACUCGGGCACAGAACAAAACGACAACCUGAACCAGAGUGGGGACCAGAGCGACCCAGGCGAGGCCAAGUAUCUGCACGACCUGACCCGGGGUCGAGCCGCCAACUUUUACAUUAACGGCGAUGUUUUCUUUCCCGCUAAACGGGUGGUCUACAACCCUAAACAUUUUAAGGAUAUGAGUCAUUACUUAGACUACCUAACGGACAGAAUCGAACCCAAGUUCGGCGCUGUCCGCAAGAUCCACACACCUCGCCACGGUCACCGGGUCAACGACCUACAGGACAUCCAGGAGAAUGCCGCCUACGUGGUGGCUGGGACAGAGCGCUUCAAGCCCUACUCAUACGAUCAAAUUACAGCCAGUGAUAAAAAGAAGUCUUCCCCCUUUAAAUAUGACGUUGAUCCUGUGUAUCAUAACAGACAAUACCUGAACUCCGGGAAAAUACACAAAAUGGAAACUCAAUCAACGUUAAUCAAAGUGUGGCCUAACGGCAGCGACUUGCGAGGACCCCGUCGAGUUCUGCUGACCCCACGAGUCCGACCUUUCACCUUGGAAAAUGUCAUGCUACAGGUCAAUGAGAUGCUCAAAGAAGAUUGUUCUGGAACUGUGGAGAAGCUGUACAUGUUAAAUGGUAUCAAAGUCUCUGAUAUUGACCAGAUAGUACCCAAUGGUCAGUACGUGGCUUGUAGGAAAACAGAGAGAUUUAAAAGGGCCAGAUACAACGAACAGGGGACAAAAAAUUUGGCCACUUCACCAAGACUGGAGCGCAAAUACCUGGCCCCCAUCUACCCACACUCCAACAACAGCACCAUUCACUCCACACCAGAAAGUUCAAAGCCUACGUCACAAAACUCUUUAAAUUCAAACCCACAGAGGAGGAGGCCAACACAGAAGGAAGAAGAUAAAGUUUUUCCUGCAAAGCCAGUUAAAUAUACCAGAAGUAAUGAGAGAGGGAACAAUGUUGAUUAUGACAAACAAGAUGAUGAUGGAGUGUUCAAGGCCAAACAAGCACACAGAGAAACAAAAGGAGCAAAAGAGGUGCCUGACACCCGGCAUACAAAAACUGACUUGCCAGUUGAUUUUCUAGAGGCUGAAGAAGUUGAGGAUGAAACAAUUGAAGAUAAAAAACCCAAAAAAGAUCCCCAAAAGAAAAAAGGAAAUCCUGAUGAAAAUAGCAAAAGGUCACCACCACCAGUUAAUCACCAGAAAAAACAAGAGGAGUUCAAGUCUCCCUCAAAAGCUCAGACUUCAGAAAGUCAAAAACAUGGAAAACCAUCAGAGUCUAAGCCAGCAAAGAAAAUCAAAUCAACUCUUUUGACUGAGUUUGAUGAGGAGGACGAAGCUGCUGCUAAAAUACAAGCUGGAUUCCGAGGUUACCAAACAAGAAAAGAGCUUGGAUUGUUACAAACAAAAACUCCAAAGGCAAAAGAAAAUAAAGAAGAAAAGGCUAAAAAAAAUGAAGUUCCUGAAAAAGUAAAGGAUAAAAAAGAAGAUCCUAAAAAUGCUAAAGCUCAAGAAAAGACAAAGGAUAAAAAAGAAGAGCCAAAGAAUUCAAAAGCUCCUGAAAGGGAAAAAAAGAAAAAAGAAGAGCCAAAUAAUUCUAAAGAACACGCAGCAGCAGCAAAAAUUCAAGCUGGGUUUCGGGGGUAUCAAACUAGAAAAGAGUUAGCUUCUCAGAAAAAUAAAGGCAAAGAUAGUACUCCCAAGACAAAAGAAAAAAAAGAGGAAAAAUCUAAAAAAAAUGAAAACCCAGAGAAGGUUAAAAACAAAAAAGAAGAGCCGAAUAAUUCUAAAGAACAUGAAGCUGCAGCAAAGAUUCAAGCAGGGUUUCGAGGGUAUCAAACUAGAAAACUUCUAGCUGAAGGAAAGAAAAAGGCAGCUAAAGUUGAAAGUCAGGAAAAGCCAGGGAAAGUAGCUAAAGUUGAGAGUCAGGACAAGCCUGUCAAAGACAAGAAAGGGGCUUCAAAAAAAGAUCCUGAGCAAGAAAGAUGGGAAGAAGAAGAAUGGGCUGCAACAAAAAUUCAGUCUGCAUACAGAGGAUAUGCCACAAGAAAAGAGCUUGGAAAUAAAAAACCUAAAGAUCAUCAAAAAUCCAGUAGUAGAGAUGAGGAUGAACAAGCAGCCCUUAAAAUUCAAGCUGCAUUUCGAGGGCAUCAGCAAAGAAAGUCUUACAAUAAUACUGUAGGGUUUCAAAAACAAAAUAAUAAAAAGUUAGGUAAAAAUGAAGCAGCUGCUAAAAUCCAGGCUAGCUAUAGAAGCCACCUGUAUCAUAGAGAGAUGGGCAAUAGAACAGAGAAAAUUGAACAUAAAGCUGCGAGUAAAAUCCAGGCAGCUUAUCGUGGCCAUCAGGCACGUAAAGACAUAAACAAAGAGAACAUUGACAAAAACCACAAGCUAGCGGCAAGCAGAAUUCAAGCAGCUUACAGGGGUCAUCGGUAUCGCAAAGAAAUAGAUAAUACAAAUGAUGAGCACUACCACAGAGACCAUAUAGUUGCUGCAACUAAAAUUCAGUCAAGUUAUAGAGGUCAUCAAACACGUAAAGAAAUGACAGCAAAGCAUAAUCAAGAUGAGAUUAAAGCUGCCACCAAAAUUCAGGCUAGCUAUAAGGGUUAUCAGACACGAAAAAAUUUGAAUGCUAAAGAUUCAGAUGAACAUGCAAAGGCAGCUGCUAAAAUUCAGGCUAGCUAUAAGGGUUAUCAGACACGAAAAAAUUUGAAUGCUAAAGAUUCAGAUGAACGUGCAAAGGCAGCUGCUAAAAUUCAGGCUAGCUAUAAGGGUUAUCAGACACGAAAAAAUUUGAAUGCUAAAGAUUCAGAUGAACGUGCAAAGGCAGCUGCUAAAAUUCAGGCUAGCUAUAAGGGUUAUCAGACACGAAAAAAUUUGAAUGCUAAAGAUUCAGAUGAACGUGCAAAGGCAGCUGCUAAAAUUCAGGCUAGCUAUAAGGGUUAUCAGACACGAAAAUAUAUAAAUGAGAAUAAAGAUGCUGCUAAAACAAUUCAGGCUGCAUACAGAGGACACCAGUACCGCAGAGAUAUCAACAAUAAAGUUUCUAGUUAAGAUUUUACCCACUUCCUGUGCGCAGUCUAAUGAAAAAUACUGGCCCUAGAAAUUUCAAACAUUUUUGGAAUAAAACUCCAAUAGUUCAGCAAUGAGGUAAAAUAACAUGGAACCAUCUCUUUAUAAGGACCAUUCCAAAGAUUAUUUUUCUAUUCUUUUGAUCACUCAUUACAGAAUGCAAUCUUUUUUUUUUUUACAAUGACAGUAUUUUAUUUUUAUUAAAACUAUCUAUAUGAUCUAUAGGGUUUAUGUUCUGUAAUGUUUUAGGCUGUUAUAAAUUAAAUGUAAAAUAAUUACAUAAUUUUUAAACUAGGAAUUAUUUUACAAUGAUUAUUCAAAGAAUAAUUUUCGUAAAAUUAAAGGUUAUAAAAAAGAAUUUUCAAAUAUAAAAUUUAUUUAAAAUAAUUAAUUGAUUGUUUUGUACAUUUAAGCUGAUCCACUGCUUGAAGGAUAUUAAAUAUAUGUCAUAGUUCACACACUGCUGUUAUUUUCUCUGCUCAAUGAUGCCUUAUGCAAAGAAAACUUUACAUUAUGAUUGUACAUUUUUCUACAUCAUUCUUUCCUCUAGUUUUAUUUUUAUGUACAAGCAGUAACAACAACAUUGAGAUUUUAUUUGUAACAAUUUUGAAAGAAAGUAGACCUGGAUUUAAAUAUCAAUCAACAAGAUUUUUUAAAAAUUUAGUAUAAGAAAUGCAAUCACUUUACAAAUGUAUGAUAACAAAGAAGUAAAAGAAACCACACAAUGUUUCCUGCUAAGGUCUGUAUAGAAUAAAAAGAAUUAAAAUGAUACAAUAUUAAUUUUGAGAUUAUUAAAAGUUUCCUACAAGAAGACCAUGAGUCAGUAUAAGUACAAGUAGACCUACAUGUUUUUUACACCCUAGCCCCCCCCCCCCACACACACACACACACCAUCCCCUAAUAAUCCUAAUAAAGGCUAAUAUGGACGAGUACAAAACUUUAACAGCUCUCUCAAAACUUCCAAUAUAUCAAUUUCAUAGUGUUAUAUAUUUAAUUGAUGUUGAUGUCAUUUUAUUUAAAUGAUUUUCCUUUCCAAAUUAACCAAUACUGAUCCAGAGUAUUGAAGAUUUAAAGUAAAAAGAAUAAGUUUCUGACGUUGUUGGCUUUACUUUAGCAGUAGGCCUAUCAAAAUUAAAUAAGUCAAAGGCCCACCUUUUAGAGUCAUCUCCCUUUCUGUCAUCAUGGUUCCCCUUUUUUUUUUUUUUUUGUAGCCUACAGCUACAGUGACUUUAUUACUACUUUCUGCAGACAUGGGUCUAUAUAAGCCUACAGUGACUAAUUACCAGUUGAGCUGUUUUUAUUUUUUAACACGUUGAUGUUAACCAGUAGACAAGUCCACAUAGAACAAUCCCAUACACUCCCAUUGGACGCUUCUCCUCUCAUUCCUCUGUGUGGAGAUAGGAACAGUUGACUCCCUUAACACUCAGGUUUCUGAAAAAAUCCAGAAGAAGCCAGAUAAAUUAUCUUGAAAUUUGUUGAGGUUUACAACUAUUUUUUCCAAAUCUUAGAGCAGCAUAAUUUUACUAAAAUGAAAACUAUUUACUAUAAAAAUCUCUUCUACUUUACUAUUGCCUCUCACCUUUAGUGGGUUGCUAAUAAGCUUUAUCACAAUAUCCACUACUUAAUAACUUAUCACUAUAUUUGAUGCACAAUUUCAGGUUGUUUUUUAGUGUUUUUAUAUUGCAUGUUAAUGUUUGUUAAUUAAAAAUUUGAAAUUUUAUAAUCCUAAAAGAAAGAAUUAAACUAUGAGCAGAAGAGCAACAACUGUUUGCUGUGUUUGGAUGUUUUAACAACUUCAGGUGGUACAUCAUUUUGAUAGAUAAAAUAAUUGGGGGUAGGGGGAAAUUUUCCUUACUUUAAACCUCACUGAUAAUUUUAAGUUAAGCCUGACUGGUAUUACAAAGAAUAAUUCAACAAAUCUCAAUAGGUUCAUAACUUAAAUUACUUAUUUAAAAAUCUGAAUAGCAACAAGAAGAUUAACUUGUAUGUAUAAAGAAAAUAUCACCCUUUACCUCUCUAUAAAUCAGAUUAACAUUGGUUAGAAAUGUUAUAUUACAUUAACGUCUAAUCCUCAUGAAAAAUGCCUUAAUGUUUUUUAAAUAUAUAAUUGACAAGUUCUUGUAAAGUGAGCCAAGCAAUAAAAUGUAUGAUUAAAAUAAAAUGAUAUUGCCUACACAGUAUCUAAUCUCAUUAAUGACCAAACCUUCACUUUAUUUCACAUAAUUUUUAUGCACUAUUUUAUAAGUAGAAUUUAUGAAUUCAUGGUUUGGUUUUCUUCAUCUAGAUUUUGUGUUUUUAUGUAAUACAAAUAUUUGUGAUUUGUUAGUAUGUAUAUUAUAAAUUAUGGUCUAAAUAAGUUUACAAAGCUGUUCAUAGGAAAUGAGUUUAAAAUAAAAGUACAUUUUUAAUGGUUAAAUAAGUUGAAUAAUAAUGAGUACAAAAUUUCAAAUCUCUAAGAAGUGUAGUUAGUGACUAAAACAUACACUUUAUGCUAGGGUUUUAAAGAAAUAUUGAAGUAUUGUUUUUUUUAUUUAUUGUACUUUUAUUUUAGAAAUGUAUUAGUUUAAAUUACCACAGUUUUUAGUCUAAUUAAAUUUUGUUUAUCUAGAUGGGGAAUUCGCUUUAUUGUAUUGGGUUCUAUCAAAAUUAUUUAUAUCAUAAAUUGUGUUUGAGUGAACUUAAUAUCUCCAAUAAUGUUUAAGAUUGUUGUAUUUCAAUCAUUACAUAUUUGUUACAAUGUAUACUGAAUAAAAUUGAUUUCUUUA
This is an RNA transcript of Physella acuta, 6000 nucleotides long. It is a transcript of the gene named abnormal spindle-like microcephaly-associated protein homolog, with no coding region annotated. Lineage: Eukaryota; Metazoa; Mollusca; Gastropoda; Physidae. The record is from RefSeq and is a predicted model, not a curated record.